Molecule: ribosomal RNA, 691 nt
Filed under: uncultured bacterium
Lineage: Bacteria
Description: bacterial SSU rRNA
Rfam family: Bacterial small subunit ribosomal RNA
Source: RNAcentral
AGUGGCAGACGGGUGAGUAACACGUGGAUAAUCUUCCUUCAGGAGAGGAAUAACCUACCGAAAGGUGGGCUAAUACCGCAUAAGACCACAGUGACCACGGUCACAGGGGUUAAAGGUUUUUCGCCUGAAGAUGAGUCUGCGUCCGAUUAGCUAGUUGGUAGGGUAAUGGCCUACCAAGGCAAUGAUCGGUAGCUGGUCUUAGAGGACGACCAGCCACACUGGAACUGAGACACGGUCCAGACUCCUACGGGAGGCAGCAGUAGGGAAUAUUGGGCAAUGGGCGAAAGCCUGACCCAGCGACGCCGCGUGUGCGAUGAAGGCCUUCGGGUUGUAAAGCACUGUCGUAGAGGACGAUAAUGACGGUACUCUAUAAGAAAGGACCGGCCAACUUCGUGCCAGCAGCCGCGGUAAGACGAGGGGUCCUAGCGUUGUUCGGAAUUACUGGGCGUAAAGCGAGUGUAGGCGGAUCUAUAAGUCAGGUGUGAAAUCCCGAAGCUCAACUUCGGAACUGCAUUUGAUACUGUAGAUCUUGAGUACUGGAGAGGAUAGCAGAAUUCCUGGUGUAGUGGUGAAAUACGUAGAUAUCAGGAGGAAUACCGGUGGCGAAGGCGGCUAUCUGGCCAGAUACUGACGUUGAGACUCGAAAGCAUGGGGAUCAAACAGGAUUAGAUACCCUGGUAGUCCAUGCCUU